This 428-nucleotide ribosomal RNA is filed under the name Lensia panikkari. Its description in RNAcentral is "partial 16S ribosomal RNA". It matches the Rfam family "Bacterial large subunit ribosomal RNA", at positions 1935 to 2481 of the family's 2925-position model. The record is from RNAcentral. Lineage: Eukaryota; Metazoa; Cnidaria; Hydrozoa; Siphonophorae; Diphyidae.
CUUAAUCCUCAAGGGUGCGAAGUAAGCAUAAUCGGAUACCGUUUAAAUGGCGGAGUGUUGAAUGGAUUCACGAGAGCAAAGCUGUCUUGGAAUAAGAAAUAAAUAAAUUAGCUGUAAUAGUGAAGAAGCUGUUUAAUGUCAUAAGACGAAAAGACCCCGUGAAGCUUAACCAUAGGAUAGUUAUCUAAUUACUAAUAGAUUUACUAAUCUUAAUAAAGACUUAAGUCUUAUCUUAGUAAAAUCUCAUAGCUAUUUUGGUGGUUUUGGUGGGGUGCCAGCACGUUAAAAAAAACAUGGAGUUAUUAAAUUUAAUUAAUAAGAACCUAGUGUAAUAAACAAAUUUAUACAGAGAAUAAUUUCGGAAAAAUGACCCGCCUAAUAUUAAAAUAUAGACGACAAAGAAUAAUAGCUACUCCGGGGAUAACAGG